Molecule: ribosomal RNA, 465 nt
Filed under: Vreelandella stevensii
Lineage: Bacteria; Pseudomonadati; Pseudomonadota; Gammaproteobacteria; Oceanospirillales; Halomonadaceae
Description: partial 16S ribosomal RNA
Rfam family: Bacterial small subunit ribosomal RNA
Source: RNAcentral
CCUACGGGGGGCUGCAGUGGGGAAUAUUGGACAAUGGGCGAAAGCCUGAUCCAGCCAUGCCGCGUGUGUGAAGAAGGCCUUCGGGUUGUAAAGCACUUUCAGUGGGGAAGAAAGCCUUGGGGCUAAUACCCUCGAGGAAGGACAUCACCCACAGAAGAAGCACCGGCUAACUCCGUGCCAGCAGCCGCGGUAAUACGGAGGGUGCGAGCGUUAAUCGGAAUUACUGGGCGUAAAGCGCGCGUAGGCGGUCUGAUAAGCCGGUUGUGAAAGCCCCGGGCUCAACCUGGGAACGGCGUCCGGAACUGUCAGGCUAGAGUGCAGGAGAGGAAGGUAGAAUUCCCGGUGUAGCGGUGAAAUGCGUAGAGAUCGGGAGGAAUACCAGUGGCGAAGGCGGCCUUCUGGACUGACACUGACGCUGAGGUGCGAAAGCGUGGGUAGCAAACAGGAUUAGAUACCCCAGUAGUC